Molecule: ribosomal RNA, 292 nt
Filed under: uncultured eukaryote
Lineage: Eukaryota
Description: partial 18S ribosomal RNA
Rfam family: Eukaryotic small subunit ribosomal RNA
Source: RNAcentral
GGUUGAUCCUGCCAGUAGUCAUAUGCUUGUCCCAAAGAUUAAGCCAUGCAUGUCCAAGUAUAAACCAAUUUAUACGGUGAAACUGCGAAAGGCUCAUUAUAUCAGUUAUAAUUUGCUUGAUAGUGACUUUACUACUUGGAUAACCGUGGUAAUUCUAGAGCUAAUACAUGAGCAAGAUCCGACUCUCGGGAAGGAUGGCAUUUAUUAGAUACUAAACCAAUGGCCUUUGGGUCUCGUGGUGAUUCAUGAUAACUGUGCGGAUCGCAUGGCGUUGAGCCGGCGACGUUUCAAA